GGAGCCAGGGAGCGGGUGCAGGAGACAUCUACUGGCUGAAAGGACUCYGAGCAAGAGCUGCCCGGGCGCACACGCACAAUCACGACUGCUCGGGUAUGUGGAAAGAGAGAAGCCAAGCUGAGGCUAUGGACCCACACGUGGAUACUGAGCGCUACACCAGAUAUUUUGGUCAAGUUUGAAGUGACCGCUUUACCAUCCGCAUAAUGAAAGCUGAGAUCUUACGGUUGGACAGUUCUGCCCUCUCCCACCCCAUUUCUACAUCUAUUUCUCUCCUGUUGCAUUUCAAGUUCUUCCCCUCUGUUCUGCUCCUGUGGGAGAGACCUUAUUAAUACAUUCUCCUUUACAUCAGCUUGUGAUGUUUUUGAAGAUAGUUCUCAUAUCUCCCCUCAGUCUUUUGUUUUCUA
This is a long non-coding RNA of Nothoprocta perdicaria, 404 nucleotides long. RefSeq lists it as uncharacterized. Lineage: Eukaryota; Metazoa; Chordata; Aves; Tinamiformes; Tinamidae. The transcript has 3 exons. The record is from RefSeq and is a predicted model, not a curated record.